This 456-nucleotide ribosomal RNA is filed under the name uncultured Lactobacillus sp. Its description in RNAcentral is "bacterial SSU rRNA". It matches the Rfam family "Bacterial small subunit ribosomal RNA", at positions 9 to 428 of the family's 1533-position model. Lineage: Bacteria; Bacillati; Bacillota; Bacilli; Lactobacillales; Lactobacillaceae. The record is from RNAcentral.
GAGUUUGAUCAUGGUUCAGGACGAACGCUGGCGGCGUGCCUAAUACAUGCAAGUCGAACGCGUCUCCGUUAAUGAUUUUAGGUGCUUGCAUUUGAAAGAUUUAACAUUGAGACGAGUGGCGAACUGGUGAGUAACACGUGGGUAACCUGCCCUUGAAGUAGGGGAUAACACUUGGAAACAGGUGCUAAUACCGUAUAACAACCAAAACCACCUGGUUUUGGUUUAAAAGACGGCUUCGGCUGUCACUUUAGGAUGGACCCGCGGCGUAUUAGCUUGUUGGUAAGGUAACGGCCUACCAAGGCGAUGAUACGUAGCCGACCUGAGAGGGUAAUCGGCCACAUUGGGACUGAGACACGGCCCAAACUCCUACGGGAGGCAGCAGUAGGGAAUCUUCCACAAUGGACGAAAGUCUGAUGGAGCAACGCCGCGUGAGUGAUGAAGGGUUUCGGCUCGUAA